Molecule: ribosomal RNA, 271 nt
Filed under: uncultured bacterium
Lineage: Bacteria
Description: partial 16S ribosomal RNA
Rfam family: Bacterial small subunit ribosomal RNA
Source: RNAcentral
GACGUAGGAUGCAAGCGUUGUCCGGAAUUAUUGGGCGUAAAGAGUUCGUAGGUGGUUAAUCAAGUCUAAUGUUAAAUCAUAGAGCUUAACUCUAUUCCUGCGUUGGAAACUGGUUAACUAGAGCAAGGUAGGGGUUAGAAGAAUUCCUGGUGUAGCGGUGAAAUGCGUAGAUAUCAGGAGGAACACCUGUGGCGAAAGCGUCUGACUGGGCCUUUGCUGACACUGAGGAACGAGAGCUAGGGGAGCGAAAGGGAUUAGAUACCCCAGUAGU